GACGACGACGCGGGGUGCCGCUCGCGCAGAGCGCAGCGGCUGAGAUCACACCCGUCGAACCUGAUCUAGUUCGUACUAGCGAAGGGAACGUCGAUGUCGGCCAUG
This 105-nucleotide non-coding RNA is filed under the name Actinotalea fermentans. RNAcentral's name for it is "TPP sequence". It matches the Rfam family "TPP riboswitch aptamer (THI element)". From Rfam's summary of the family: Vitamin B(1) in its active form thiamin pyrophosphate (TPP) is an essential coenzyme that is synthesised by coupling of pyrimidine and thiazole moieties in bacteria. The previously detected thiamin-regulatory element, thi box was extended, resulting in a new, highly conserved RNA secondary structure, the THI element, which is widely distributed in eubacteria and also occurs in some archaea. The record is from Rfam by way of RNAcentral. Lineage: Bacteria; Bacillati; Actinomycetota; Actinomycetes; Micrococcales; Cellulomonadaceae.